UACGUAGGACGCGAGCGUUAUCCGGAUUCACUGGGCGUAAAGCGCCUGCAGGCGGUUUCGUAAGUUGGGUGUGAAAGCCCCAGGCUUAACCUGGGGAGGCCAUUCAAUACUGCGGAGCUUGAGGACGGGAGAGGGAAGCGGAAUUCCCGGUGUAGCGGUAAAAUGCGCAGAUAUCGGGAGGAACACCAGUGGCGAAGGCGGCUUCCUGGCCCGUUCCUGACGCUCGGAGGCGAAAGCUAGGGGAGCAAACAGG
This 253-nucleotide ribosomal RNA is filed under the name uncultured bacterium. Its description in RNAcentral is "partial 16S ribosomal RNA". It matches the Rfam family "Bacterial small subunit ribosomal RNA", at positions 524 to 776 of the family's 1533-position model. The record is from RNAcentral.